RNAcentral lists this long non-coding RNA (355 nucleotides) under Elaeis guineensis (African oil palm). RNAcentral describes it as "long non-coding RNA (EGUI_LNC078207)". The record is from RNAcentral. Lineage: Eukaryota; Viridiplantae; Streptophyta; Magnoliopsida; Arecales; Arecaceae.
CCAGUCUAUAAAAGGGGACCCCAGAUACGUUAUUCUCUAAGCUCUCAUUUUUUACCUAGAAACUCUGCUAAAAUUUCUGUUCGAGUACUCCAUUCUUGUUGAGACAGAGAACUGACUUGAGCGUCGGAGGGUCUUGCCGGAGCAAACCCACCUCCGGUUUAGACUUCUUUUGCAAGUCCCGACGGUGACCGCGACCCCCACAACUCCAGCUUCUCUGGCGCAGAUGGAUUUUUGCACCAACAGGAUUGGCGCUAGAGGAAGGGCGCGUGUCUUCGCAGUACCCUUAUUCUUAAAGGAGCGCUCAACGGAACCACCCCCGGGCAUCUUUUCCGGCAUCCUCUCCUCCUUCCUCCAC